GCGGGGUUCGGGCCCGCGAGUCCAGAGCACCCUGGAUAAGGCUACGUACGUACACGGAGGAAAGGCCCCGGUACCGCCCACGGCCCGGCAAGAAGGGUACGGGACUCCCUCCUCCUCUGUGAUUGCAGCCUCCUCCUACGCGUAUGGAAUGAGUCAACGGUUCAACAGAUCCUCAACGCAGAGCGAGAUGUUGGCAAAAGGAAGGGGCCGUGGCCAACAGGCUUGGUCUCCAGGAAGUCAGUGCCAGGACGCAGCGGUCCUGAUGCAAAGUCUUAGGAGUGGGAGAGGAGAGGCCCCGUGUUAGACCGAGGAGCCCCUCUCCUUACCUCCCACACACGCUUGUUAGGAGACAAGGUCCCCCAGCU
This is a long non-coding RNA of Pipistrellus kuhlii (Kuhl's pipistrelle), 365 nucleotides long. RefSeq lists it as uncharacterized. Lineage: Eukaryota; Metazoa; Chordata; Mammalia; Chiroptera; Vespertilionidae. The transcript is spliced from 3 exons. The record is from RefSeq and is a predicted model, not a curated record.